Molecule: ribosomal RNA, 545 nt
Filed under: uncultured bacterium
Lineage: Bacteria
Description: bacterial SSU rRNA
Rfam family: Bacterial small subunit ribosomal RNA
Source: RNAcentral
AAUAGAUACCCGGGUAGUCCAUGCCGUAAACGUUGGGCACUAGGUGUGGGGGACAUUCCACGUUUUCCGCGCCGUAGCUAACGCAUUAAGUGCCCCGCCUGGGGAGUACGGCCGCAAGGCUAAAACUCAAAGGAAUUGACGGGGGCCCGCACAAGCGGCGGAGCAUGCGGAUUAAUUCGAUGCAACGCGAAGAACCUUACCAAGGCUUGACAUGAACCGGAAAGACCUGGAAACAGGUCCCCCACUUGUGGUCGGUUUACAGGUGGUGCAUGGUUGUCGUCAGCUCGUGUCGUGAGAUGUUGGGUUAAGUCCCGCAACGAGCGCAACCCUCGUUCUAUGUUGCCAGCACGUGAUGGUGGGGACUCAUAGGAGACUGCCGGGGUCAACUCGGAGGAAGGUGGGGACGACGUCAAAUCAUCAUGCCCCUUAUGUCUUGGGCUUCACGCAUGCUACAAUGGCCGGUACAAAGGAUUGCGAUACUGUGAGGUGGAGCUAAUCCCAAAAAGCCGGUCUCAGUUCGGAUUGGGGUCUGCAACUCGACCCCA